CCUACGGGAGGCAGCAGUGGGGAAUAUUGCACAAUGGGGGAAACCCUGAUGCAGCGACGCCGCGUGAGUGAAGAAGUAUUUCGGUAUGUAAAGCUCUAUCAGCAGGGAAGAAAAUGACGGUACCUGAUUAAGAAGCCCCGGCUAACUACGUGCCAGCAGCCGCGGUAAUACGUAGGGGGCAAGCGUUAUCCGGAUUUACUGGGUGUAAAGGGAGCGUAGACGGUGAUGCAAGUCAGAAGUGAAAGCCCGGGGCUCAACUCCGGGACUGCUUUUGAAACUGUGUGACUGGAGUGCAGGAGAGGUAAGCGGAAUGCCUGGUGUAGCGGUGAAAUGCAUAGAUAUCAGGAGGAACACCAGUGGCGAAGGCGGCUUACUGGACUGUAACUGACGUUGAGGCUCGAAAGCGUGGGGAGCGAACAGGAUUAGAUACCCGUGUAGUC
This 440-nucleotide ribosomal RNA is filed under the name uncultured bacterium. RNAcentral describes it as "partial 16S ribosomal RNA". It matches the Rfam family "Bacterial small subunit ribosomal RNA", at positions 338 to 795 of the family's 1533-position model. The record is from RNAcentral.